GGUUCGCUAGCUCAGUUGGUAGAGCAUCUGACUUUUAAUCAGAGGGUCCCGGGUUCAAGUCCCGGGUGAGCCACCA
RNAcentral lists this transfer RNA (76 nucleotides) under Schwartzia sp. (in: firmicutes). RNAcentral's name for it is "Schwartzia sp. (gut metagenome) tRNA-Lys". It matches the Rfam family "tRNA". From Rfam's summary of the family: Transfer RNA (tRNA) molecules are approximately 80 nucleotides in length. Their secondary structure includes four short double-helical elements and three loops (D, anti-codon, and T loops). Lineage: Bacteria; Bacillati; Bacillota; Negativicutes; Selenomonadales; Selenomonadaceae. The record is from RNAcentral.